UGCUGCAAAGGUAAUGGUUUGGCGCGUCGUUUUGACUUGUUGAAAUGUGCGAGAGAGCGAGCGACAGUUUCAGCCAUUUUGGCUUUUCCUCAAAACCAUUGCACUUCUAAGCAAGAAAGGUAAGGCAGUCAAGGCUCACAGAGGAUAGAAGUUGUCAAUGGACUUAAGAGAUAUAAUAUUCAAACACAUCAACGGAAGGAAACGGAGCGUGCUUCAGCCUGACAAGUUUGUGCCAAGUUGUACCAGUGGAUAGCGAUGACUCGUGGAAGCUAGUAAAAAGUCUGUGACUUCUAGAAGAUCCCGCUACUGACAGCCAUGACGAUUUUCGUGAACUGGAGGGUUUAUUAUGAUACGUGCGAGUCGUACAAGUUGUACACAAGUAUAAAGCUACAUGCAUAAAUUAACAUAAUGGUUAACUAUGGCGUGAAAGUCACGCAAUACAUGUCAGUCACUGGUUGUGUUACAAGCCAUUUUGGCUUUUCCUCAAAACCAUUGCACUUCUAAGCAAGAAAGGUAAGGCAGUCAAGGCUCACAGAGGAUCGAAGUUGUCAAUGGACGUAAGAGAUAUAGUAUUCAAACACAUCAACGGAAGGAAACGGAGCGUGCUUCAGCCUGACAAGUUUGUGCCAAGUUGUACCAGUGGAUAGCAAUGACCCGUGGUAGCUAG
Molecule: long non-coding RNA, 667 nt
Organism: Nematostella vectensis (starlet sea anemone)
Lineage: Eukaryota; Metazoa; Cnidaria; Anthozoa; Actiniaria; Edwardsiidae
Exons: 2
Source: RefSeq, a predicted model, not a curated record